UUAUUAUUUUGCUCUACGAGUGUGAUUCUAAAAUUUAGGAAGUGAAGGAAAUUUAUUUAUAAAUAGUAAGUGUUUUUCGUUGGUCUCUUUCGAGAGGUGUACUUGGAGUAGCUCAUCUGGACAAGUUCGUUCAUUUGUUGCAGGGAGCGGAGGUUAUAAUAACGGAUCUACCAUGUGAAUGACAGGGUGAAAUUCAUCUUUAUAGUUCUUUAGGUCAAGAAAAUGUGCAUUUUGAAGCAUAGAAAAUUGCGAAAGCUGCUGAAGUGGAAAACGAAAGGAUGCUAAAACACUUCCCAAACCUUCUAAGAACUGAGGUCAACACAUUGCCUCACAAUAGUAUAGUUCAAGUAGUAUUAACUAAUGAAUAUGCAGAGGCAUCGCCAAACAGGCGCUACGAACUCAAAGCUAUAUGAAAACUCUGCCAGAUGGCGAAAACCAAUAUGGCAACCUUACAAGCUGACGGAGAGGGACGAGUUUUUCUCCGGCAGGUCUCAGUCAGUUCUUCACCGAGAUAUGUAAACCUCGCUACCCGUAUCUGUGUUGGGGAAGUGUUGGACUAUGUUCUUUUUCUUAAACCGUUAUAAUGUAUUCAACUAUGUUGUUUUUUCUCAUUAAAUUUCUUUAU
Stegodyphus dumicola is the source of this 625-nucleotide long non-coding RNA. The record is from RefSeq and is a predicted model, not a curated record. NCBI's taxonomy places the organism in Eukaryota, Metazoa, Arthropoda, Arachnida, Araneae, Eresidae.